UACGUAGGGCGCAAGCGUUAUCCGGAAUUAUUGGGCGUAAAGAGCUCGUAGGCGGGUUGUCGCGUCUGCCGUGAAAGUCCGGGGCUUAACCCCGGAUCUGCGGUGGGUACGGGCAGACUAGAGUGCAGUAGGGGAGACUGGAAUUCCUGGUGUAGCGGUGAAAUGCGCAGAUAUCAGGAGGAACACCGAUGGCGAAGGCAGGUCUCUGGGCUGUAACUGACGCUGAGGAGCGAAAGCAUGGGGAGCGAACAGG
Molecule: ribosomal RNA, 253 nt
Filed under: uncultured bacterium
Lineage: Bacteria
Description: partial 16S ribosomal RNA
Rfam family: Bacterial small subunit ribosomal RNA
Source: RNAcentral